Molecule: ribosomal RNA, 117 nt
Filed under: uncultured bacterium
Lineage: Bacteria
Description: partial 16S ribosomal RNA
Rfam family: Bacterial small subunit ribosomal RNA
Source: RNAcentral
UACGGUGAAUACGUUCCCGGACCUUGCACACACCGCCCCGUCAAGCCAUGGAAGCUGGGUGUACCUAAAGUCGGUAACCGUAAGGAGCCGCCUAGGGUAAAACUAGUAACUGGGGCU